GACAAAUGCAGGGGACAGGUCACAAUGAUUUGGCAGAGCCUUUCCUUUGCUGUAUGUGUGCUGACUUUUUGGACUAUUGGACACGCUACAGGCUGUGGUGAUCGACAGAUCCGGAUAAAUGGACGGUGCUGCAAUCUGUGCCCCCCAGGUACUUAUAUGGCAGAGUUCUGCUCUGACAAAGAGCAAACUGUCUGCAUUUCUUGUCAAGAGGGACAUUUUUCAGAUCACUACUCUGUUUUUGACAGAUGUGAGCCAUGCCAGUCUUGCCAACAAGAAUAUUCUGAGAAAUGUACUCCGACCACAAAUGCGACCUGUUCUUGUCGCUCUGGUUUCCUGUGUUCCAACAGCAUCUGCUCAAUUUGUGAGGAAAACAAAUGUGUCACGGGUGAGAAACCGAAGAGGACAGAAAUUUCAUCAGGUGCAGGGGUGACAAAGUAUUCAUAUCACUGUGAGCCUUUAUGCCCUGAGAAUGCAUACUUUGAUGCAGGACGGAAUAGCUGCCAGUCAAUAAUACCGUGCAGUAUGUUGGAACGUGCCGAACGGUUUCCAGGGAACAAAACACACCCACCGGUUUGUGAUAAACCUGAUGUGCACAGAGACUCGUCCACUCAUGUGAUUCUUGGCAUCGGCUUUGUUUCACUCUCUGUCAGCCUCCUUCUGGUUCUGUCUUAUACCUGCAUGAAGAACCAAAGGCAGCACGCAAUAAAUAAAAGCCCUGUCCUAGCAGCCUCUACAAACAACAAUGAGUUUCAUCUGUCAAAGGAGGAAAGUGGACACCAGCUCAUCAGCCAGACAGAAUCCAAAGACAGCAACAGUUUGGACCAAGUGCACCUGGAAAAAGUCAUCUCUUUGUGACAAUAAGUCUAAGAUACCAUGAAACAUUUCGUGCUGUGAAAACUGACACAUUGGACUGCUGGUUUAGCAUCGUCCCCUCAUAGCUAGAAGACCCCCUGUUCACGUCCUGGCCUGGGAUCUUUCUGUGUGGAGUUUUCAUGUUCUCCCUGUGCAGCGUGGGGUUUCACUGGGUUCUCCCCGAGUCCAAACACAUGCUGAGGUUUACUGGUGAUUCUAAAUUGUCCGUAGGUGUGAAUGCAAGUGUGCUUGGUUGCCUGUCUCUCUGUUUGUAGCCCUGUGAUAGACUGGCAACCUGUCCAGAGUGAACCCGCCCACGAGGAUUAAGUGGUCUACAGAUGAUGGAUGGAUGGAUGUACAUCAAAAAAAUUUGGCUAAAUGUUGUAAGGAAAGAUGAUUUUGGUGUAUUAAAAACAACAUAGCUGAUGUUGUAAUUGUGGAUUUUGCAAUAUUUACAAAAAUGUAACAGAUAUAGUCCUCUUAUUAAAUGCUAUGAACCUGUUGUAUUAAAAGGUGAGUUGUUUUAUAUCGAUUAAAAUGUGAUAAUGUCUUUGUUUAA
Molecule: long non-coding RNA, 1411 nt
Organism: Amphiprion ocellaris (clown anemonefish)
Lineage: Eukaryota; Metazoa; Chordata; Actinopteri; Pomacentridae
Source: Ensembl